Molecule: long non-coding RNA, 2119 nt
Organism: Brassica rapa (field mustard)
Lineage: Eukaryota; Viridiplantae; Streptophyta; Magnoliopsida; Brassicales; Brassicaceae
Source: RefSeq, a predicted model, not a curated record
UACCAUCUAAAUUCGUCAUACUAAUUUUAUUAUUUAACUGACUCUAUUUUUAUAUUAAAAAGUUUGUAUAUAGUGAAACAUUCCAUGUUAAUUUGUCUAUCCUUUUUUGGAAGAAUAAAAUCAAACCACUUCAAACUCAUCAUAAAUUUCACUAACUACAGUGAAACCUCUAUAAAUUAAUAAUGUUGGAAUUACACCAAAGCUAUAAUUUUUUUAUUAAUUUAUAGAAAUAUUAAUUUAUCGAUAUACUAAUUGAACCAAAAACUCAAUUUGAAACUAUAAAAUUAUAUUAUUUUAUAAAAAAAUUUAGUGUAUAUUAAUUUAUAGAGUAAUAAUUUAAAGAUGUUAUACUUGUACUUAAUUUUUCGAUGUCCUCUCUUUUUUCAAUAGAAAACAGAGGUAAAAGAAAACUAAUAAAUAUUAUUUAUUUUUUUCAAAUAUCUUUAAUUUUUCCACCAAAAUCUUCAAAAUUCUAACAAAAUGACCAUCAAAAUUGCACCAAAUCUGAAAUUCCUCUAAUCUUCUAAAACCCCUAAUCCAAUAAAUCUCCCUACUGACAUUUGGAAAGUUAUAAACAUGCUAGACUAAAUCUUAAUAAUAAAAGUUAAUUUAUAAUUUAGAAUUCAAAUGACUUAUAACAAUAAUUUAUGGUUCCACAUAAUUUACGACGAACAAAAAGCCAAUAAAGCUAUAAUGAGGAAGAUGACUUUAUAUAUGUGUAUGAGUGUGUUUUUGGAAAAAAAAGUUGUUUGUUUUUAUAGAGAAAAUUCAACGAAUUUUAAUUAUACAUAGAUACGAUAUCGGACCCUGCUACAAGUUAUUAGAUGAUAAUGAUAUUGUCAAAUCGUAUAAUAAUUCUAAAUUAUGGAUAAUACUUGAUGAUUAAAAAAAUGCACAAAUUGACUUGGUGCACAUCUGUCACAUGUGAUACAUAGUCAUGUUUUUAAUUUGUAAAACCUUUUUUUUUUAAACGCUAGAUAUAUUGAUUCUUCGCAAAAACGGGUAGAGCAGCCGCUGUGGUUUUUAGUAGUAUUUCUUUACCUCUCUGUGAUAGCUUACGCAUGUACCAACCAUCCAAUCUUCCGCUGGUCCUUUCUUUGAGGUAUGAAAGCAGCUCUACCUUAGAACCCGAAAAGCAUUUCAAGAGGCCCAAAUAUUUACUUGUUCCUCCGACAUUGAAGAUCUUGAGGAUAUUUUGUAUUGCAGCCUUAUCUUCUUGAGCAAUCUUAUCGCCAAAGGAAGAGGCUGUCAUCCGCAAAGAAGAAGUGAUGACGCAAAACGUAAUCCUUCUAACAGACCAUUUCUCUCCGCCACAUCAAGGAGGUGGGAUAGGCCUUCAGUACAGAGCACAGAGAGGAACGGAGACAAUUGUUAAUAACCGCGAGUUGGGCCCUGUUCGUUUGCUCACCCAGGUGAUCCAUCUGGGUGAAGAUGCAAAUUGAUGUUCGUUUUGUGCAUUAUAAUGAUACAUCCAGAUGGAUCACCCAGCUGAAUUUUUCAAAACUCAUCUCAAAUUCUCACCCAAAUGAAGGUGAGUCUUGAUGGUGCAUCUGGAUGCAGAUGCAUCUUCAGUCCAAAAUGAUAAAUGACAAAAAUGACCUUUUAAAAUCAAAAUAUUAUUUUCAAAUCGUAAAUUCUAUUUUUUGCAUAUACAUUUUUCCGUUAUAACCAAAAAAUGCAUUUUCUCGCAAAAACUGAAAAACACACUUUCCCGCCAAAACCGCAAGAUGCGGUUUUCCGCAAAAAAAACAUAAAACACACAUUUUCAUAAAAAAAACAUGUUUCGGUUAAACCAGUAAAACCGCACUUUUCGAACAAAACCGAAAAAACGCAUUUCCCGCCAACACCAAAAAACGCAUAUUCCCGCCAAAACUCCAAAAAGCAUUUUCCGGCCAAAACCGCAAAAAGCAUUUUCCCGCCAAAACAGGAAAAAAACGCAUUUUCUCACCAAAACCGAAAAAACACAAUUUCCCGCCAAAACCGGAAAACCGAAUUUUUCCACCAAAACCAAAAAACGAAAAUUUUUCCGCCAAAACCGGUAAACGAAAUUUUCCCCACCAAAACCGGAGAAACGCAUUUUCCCGCUAAAACCGGAAAAACGCAUUUUCCCGCUAAAACC